Molecule: ribosomal RNA, 498 nt
Filed under: uncultured bacterium
Lineage: Bacteria
Description: partial 16S ribosomal RNA
Rfam family: Bacterial small subunit ribosomal RNA
Source: RNAcentral
GACGAACGCUGGCGGCGUGCCUAAUACAUGCAAGUCGAGCGGACGGAUGGGAGCUUGCUCCCUGUCCGUCAGCGGCGGACGGGUUAGUAACACGUUGGCAACCUUCCUUUAAGACUGGGAUAACUCCCGGAAACCCGGGCUAAUUCCGGGUAACUCUUUCCCUCCCCUUAGUGCAAUCUGAAAGGUGGCAUUUCGCUAUCCCUUUCAGUUGGUCCCGCGGCGCAUUAGCUAGUUGGUGAGGUAACGGCUCACCAAGGCGACGAUGCGUAGCCGACCUGAGAGGGUGAUCGGCCACACUGGAACUGAGACACGGCCCAGACUCCUACGGGAGGCAGCAGUAGGGAAUCUUCCGCAAUGGGCGAAAGUCUGACGGAGCAACGCCGCGUGAGUGAUGAAGGUUUUCGGAUCGUAAAACUCUGUUGUCAGGGAAGAACAAGUAUCGAAGUAACUGCCGGCAUCUUGACGGUACCUGACCAGAAAGCCACGGCUAACUACGUG